UUAUCAAAUUUCUUGGGAGAGUUAGGUCUCUUUCUGAUAUUAUCUCAAUCAAAUAUAUUAGUUACUCACACAACCUGAUGUUUCUCUCUUCAGGCCAAGUGUGAAAAUGAAACUUGUUGACAUCUGAAAUAGCAAAUACUGGGCUCAAGGGGAGCACACAAGUACAUGUGAUGGGGAGUCAAAAGAACGUUCUGAUAACGUAAUUGGAAGUUCCAACAAUUGAUCAGACUAAAAAGAUAACUUCAUUCGGUCAAAUUGAAGUAAUCUUUACAAAAUUGUAUGUAUAAAGAUAAAACGGACAAACAAGUUGGUUGACAUAGCAUGUUCUCUCCGCGUUGAAUAUAAUAUGGAUGCCUUAGCAUUCUCUAACAUUGAAUGGAAGGAGCGAAAACUGCACUGGAUCAGGAUCUUAUAUAUUCUUGGGUGGUCAGGCAAUGAAGUUGAGUAGCAUAUAAACUCUACACAUGGGUUAAUUCCUGAGACUGGUCAUUUUCUUUUACAGUAUCCAAUCUCAAUGACAAUUAAUUGAGCUCUUAAUUUAAGAUCAGAAAUUGUAUGAAGCAAUCAAAGUUAUGGAGGUUUCAGUCUCAUUUUUUUGUAAGGUUAAUCUUUUUAUUCUUAUGCUUUAUCUUGUUUUCUUUCAACGUCAUUAUGCAAAAUCCUUAACGACUCCAAAUGAGAGUUAUUUUUGUUUAUUUUAUGUAUUAAGACAUCUCUUUGCACCAUUUCAUAAUCAAUGUCCGUGAUAUACUUAUUCUACAAUUGUUUGAUCUGCUUGUAUCUAUAUUUAUUUUGUGGUGUAUUU
Long non-coding RNA from Solanum tuberosum (potato), 805 nucleotides. RefSeq lists it as uncharacterized. The transcript is spliced from 3 exons. Lineage: Eukaryota; Viridiplantae; Streptophyta; Magnoliopsida; Solanales; Solanaceae. The record is from RefSeq and is a predicted model, not a curated record.